ACGGAAGGCAGCAGUGGGGAAUAUUGCACAAUGGGGGAAACCCUGAUGCAGCGACGCCGCGUGAGUGAAGAAGUAUUUCGGUAUGUAAAGCUCUAUCAGCAGGGAAGAAAAUGACGGUACCUGACUAAGAAGCCCCGGCUAACUACGUGCCAGCAGCCGCGGUAAUACGUAGGGGGCAAGCGUUAUCCGGAAUUAUUGGGCGUAAAGAGUGCGUAGGUGGUUACCUAAGCAGGGGGUGAAAGGCAUUGGCUUAACCAAUGUUAGCCCCCUGAACUGGGCUACUUGAGUGCAGGAGGGGAAAGCGGAAUUCCUAGUGUAGCGGUGAAAUGCGUAGAUAUUAGGAGGAACACCGGUGGCGAAGGCGGCUUUCUGGACUGUAACUGACACUGAGGCACGAAAGUGUGGGGAGCAAACAGGAUUAGAUACCCUGGUA
This 433-nucleotide ribosomal RNA is filed under the name uncultured Anaerovorax sp. RNAcentral describes it as "partial 16S ribosomal RNA". It matches the Rfam family "Bacterial small subunit ribosomal RNA", at positions 341 to 792 of the family's 1533-position model. Lineage: Bacteria; Bacillati; Bacillota; Clostridia; Peptostreptococcales; Anaerovoracaceae. The record is from RNAcentral.